This 256-nucleotide ribosomal RNA is filed under the name uncultured bacterium. RNAcentral describes it as "partial 16S ribosomal RNA". It matches the Rfam family "Bacterial small subunit ribosomal RNA", at positions 524 to 776 of the family's 1533-position model. The record is from RNAcentral.
UACAGAGGGUGCAAGCGUUGUUCGGAAUUAUUGGGCGUAAAGGGCGCGUAGGCGGUGCGGUAAGUCUGCAGUGAAAUCUCUGGGCUCAACUCAGAGUCUGCUGUAGAAACUGCAGAGCUUGAGUGCCGGAGAGGGUGGCGGAAUUCCCCAAGUAGAGGUGAAAAUUCGUAGAUAUGGGGGAGGAACACCGGUGGCGAAGGCGGCCACCUGGACGGUAACUGACGCUGAGACGCGAAAAGCGUGGGGAGCAAACAGG